CCCGCCUACGGGAGGCAGCAGUGGGGAAUAUUGCACAAUGGGGGAAACCCUGAUGCAGCCAUGCCGCGUGUGUGAAGAAGGCCUUCGGGUUGUAAAGCACUUUCAGUUGUGAGGAAAGUUUAGUAGUUAAUACCUGCUAGAUGUGACGUUAGCAACAGAAGAAGCACCGGCUAACUCCGUGCCAGCAGCCGCGGUAAUACGGAGGGUGCGAGCGUUAAUCGGAAUUACUGGGCGUAAAGCGCACGCAGGCGGUCUGUUAAGCUAGAUGUGAAAGCCCCGCGCUCAACGUGGGAGGGUCAUUUAGAACUGGCAGACUAGAGUCUUGGAGAGGGGAGUGGAAUUCCAGGUGUAGCGGUGAAAUGCGUAGAGAUCUGGAGGAACAUCAAUGGCGAAGGCAACUCCCUGGCCAAAGACUGACGCUCAUGUGCGAAAGUGUGGGUAGCGAACAGGAUUAGAUACCCUGGUAGUCCACACCGUAAACGCUGUCUACUAGCUGUUUGUGGAUUUAAUCG
Molecule: ribosomal RNA, 512 nt
Filed under: uncultured Gammaproteobacteria bacterium
Lineage: Bacteria; Pseudomonadati; Pseudomonadota; Gammaproteobacteria
Description: bacterial SSU rRNA
Rfam family: Bacterial small subunit ribosomal RNA
Source: RNAcentral